AUCCAGCUGACGAGUCCCGAAUAAAAUGAGACGCACGUCCUGAAU
Non-coding RNA from Schistosoma rodhaini, 45 nucleotides. NCBI's taxonomy places the organism in Eukaryota, Metazoa, Platyhelminthes, Trematoda, Strigeidida, Schistosomatidae. The record is from Rfam.